CGUUCUUGCUCAUUUUGCUUCUGAGAAAUGAGCAAAAACGGGACGGAAAACAUGAAAUUUUUGAAAAUACAAACAAACUUUUCGCAAGACCGAAACAUGUGAUACAUUUUUGUUUCUCUUGAACUGAUUUUGAAAAUCUAGAUCUCCAAUAUAUAAAACCAAAUAAAAGUGUCAAUUGAAAUUAAAAACCGGUUUUGAGCUAUUUAGUUUGUCCCGAACUUUUGGCGUUGAAAUGAAAAAAAACCUCUUUGUUUGUCCAACUUUUGCAUUUUUUCAUUUGCCAAAUGUUACGGCAAAUUUGGCCGUGUAACGUUGAUUUUGUUGAGCAGUUUACGAGCUAUUCAGUAAUUUACAUUCAAAAAUUAAAAAUCCCUUAAACAAAGAAAUUGUUGUGCCUGCAUGAGACGCCCCUGGGUAACGUCUGCAAAUACCAGCCAGUAAAUUAAAUCGGGAAUUUCAUAAUAAUAAUUUAAUAAGUUAAGCGCAAAAGGUUUAAAAAAAUAUUACGAAAAAACCAUCUUUAGCGUCCUCUCUUUCAUGUUCAGCACCUUUUGUGCUUUUGUUAAUGUUUAUACGAGCCCGUUUUAUUGUUUUACAAGUUUUUCAUAUUACAAUAUUUUGUGAUUAUCUGUUACAUGUGCUCAAAUCAUUUCACUUGUCACUUCACGGCUAUCAAAACUGUCUUAACUGUCUUAAAGUGCCCCAAUGUGGCAACGUUGAGAGGCGCGAACACCACUUAUAUUUUUCAGCCUGCAUUGGUAAUAUCUAGAUGUGGACCGAAAAUUUAUAAUUCUACUAUUUUUAAAACUGCACUUAUAUCAUUAAAGUAUGAGUGCUAGACUGUGAUCAUUAACGACUUUUAUACAGAAUUAAAGACAUCUUUCGUCAAGAAGCUUUAAAAUUUGCAGAAGACUAGAAGAAGAAGGCUAGAAGAGGACCAAAAUUCAGGAACUUCUGAGCAAAUCUCAUCAUCUAUUCAGGCUAAUAAAUAAAGGUGGCAAAAAAUAACUUACUCUUUGAUAAGCUGCUGAAGCGGUUCUCUCUGCCAGUUUCGUCUUCAUGCACGAGUGCACUUCUUAUCUCUCCCCUCUAAAGUGUUUUUGGGGA
Dendroctonus ponderosae (mountain pine beetle) is the source of this 1107-nucleotide long non-coding RNA. RefSeq lists it as uncharacterized. The transcript has 3 exons. NCBI's taxonomy places the organism in Eukaryota, Metazoa, Arthropoda, Insecta, Coleoptera, Curculionidae. The record is from RefSeq and is a predicted model, not a curated record.